AUGGCCUGGACUCCUCUGCUCCUCGCGCUCCUCUCUCUCUGCACAGGGUCCCUCUCCCAGCCUGUGCUGACCCAGCCGCCCUCCCUCUCUGCAUCUCCGGGAGCCACAGCCAGACUCACCUGCACCCUGAGCAGUGAUGUCAGUGUUGGUGCUAAAUCCAUAUACUGGUACCAGCAGAAGCCAGGGAGCCCUCCCCGGUAUCUCCUGUACUACAACUCAGACUCAGAUAAGCACCAGGGCUCCGGGGUCCCCAGCCGCUUCUCUGGAUCCAAAGACGCCUCGGCCAAUGCGGGGCUCCUGCUCAUCUCGGGGCUGCAGCCUGAGGACGAGGCUGACUAUUACUGUGCGAUCUGGCACAGUAGUGCUUCCCACAGUGACACACUCAGAUGGGGAAGUGGGACAAAAACCUCGCCCUCCCAGAGUCUUAUUUCACAACGUCUGACCCUGUUAACAUAA
This is a non-coding RNA of Eptesicus fuscus (big brown bat), 456 nucleotides long. NCBI's taxonomy places the organism in Eukaryota, Metazoa, Chordata, Mammalia, Chiroptera, Vespertilionidae. The record is from the annotation of a RefSeq genome assembly.